GACCGGCGCACGGGUGCGUAACGCGUAUGCAAUCUACCUUUCACAGAGGGAUAGCCCAGAGAAAUUUGGAUUAAUACCUCAUAGUAUAAUGAGUUGGCAUCAACACAUUAUUAAAGUCACAACGGUGAAAGAUGAGCAUGCGUCCCAUUAGCUAGAUGGUAAGGUAACGGCUUACCAUGGCUACGAUGGGUAGGGGUCCUGAGAGGGAGAUCCCCCACACUGGUACUGAGACACGGACCAGACUCCUACGGGAGGCAGCAGUGAGGAAUAUUGGACAAUGGGCGCAAGCCUGAUCCAGCCAUGCCGCGUGCAGGAUGACGGUCCUAUGGAUUGUAAACUGCUUUUGUACAGGAAGAAACACUGGUUCGUGAACCAGCUUGACGGUACUGUAAGAAUAAGGAUCGGCUAACUCCGUGCCAGCAGCCGCGGUAAUACGGAGGAUCCAAGCGUUAUCCGGAAUCAUUGGGUUUAAAGGGUCCGUAGGCGGUUUAGUAAGUCAGUGGUGAAAGCCCAUCGCUCAACGGUGGAACGGCCAUUGAUACUGCUAAACUUGAAUUAUUAGGAAGUAACUAGAAUAUGUAGUGUAGCGGUGAAAUGCUUAGAGAUUACAUGGAAUACCAAUUGCGAAGGCAGGUUACUACUAAUGGAUUGACGCUGAUGGACGAAAGCGUGGGUAGCGAACAGGAUUAGAUACCCUGGUAGUCCACGCCGUAAACGAUGGAUACUAGCUG
Molecule: ribosomal RNA, 731 nt
Filed under: uncultured Bacteroidota bacterium
Lineage: Bacteria; Pseudomonadati; Bacteroidota
Description: bacterial SSU rRNA
Rfam family: Bacterial small subunit ribosomal RNA
Source: RNAcentral